CCUACGGGUGGCAGCAGUGAGGAAUAUUGGUCAAUGGGCGCGAGCCUGAACCAGCCAAGUAGCGUGAAGGAUGACGGCCCUACGGGUUGUAAACUUCUUUUAUAAAAGAAUAAAGUGAAGCACGUGUGCCUUUUUGUAUGUACUUUAUGAAUAAGGAUCGGCUAACUCCGUGCCAGCAGCCGCGGUAAUACGGAGGAUCCAAGCGUUAUCCGGAUUUAUUGGGUUUAAAGGGAGCGUAGAUGGGUUGUUAAGUCAGUGGUGAAAGUUUGGGGCUGAACCGGAAAAUUGCCAUUGAUACUGGCAGUCUAGAGUAUAGUUGCGGUAGGCGGAAUGCGUGGUGUAGCGGUGAAAUGCUUAGAGAUCACGCAGAACUCCGAUUGCGAAGGCAGCUUACUAAACUGCCACUGACAUUGAUGCUCGAAAGUGUGGGGAUCAAACAGGAUUAGAUACCCUUGUAGUC
Molecule: ribosomal RNA, 460 nt
Filed under: uncultured bacterium
Lineage: Bacteria
Description: partial 16S ribosomal RNA
Rfam family: Bacterial small subunit ribosomal RNA
Source: RNAcentral